This 83-nucleotide non-coding RNA is filed under the name Tenuibacillus multivorans. Its description in RNAcentral is "c-di-GMP-I riboswitch aptamer". It matches the Rfam family "c-di-GMP-I riboswitch aptamer". From Rfam's summary of the family: GEMM was predicted in a large-scale screen for bacterial structured RNA regulatory elements. Genes associated with GEMM are involved in a diverse array of functions, including chemotaxis regulation, signal transduction, secretion and chitin. Lineage: Bacteria; Bacillati; Bacillota; Bacilli; Caryophanales; Bacillaceae. The record is from Rfam by way of RNAcentral.
UUGAAGAAAAGGCAAACCUCUUGAAAAAGGGGGACGCAAAGCCGGUGGUCUAAGGGGUUUCCUAUGAUAGCACAGCUACCUCA